Molecule: small nuclear RNA, 102 nt
Organism: Peromyscus leucopus (white-footed mouse)
Lineage: Eukaryota; Metazoa; Chordata; Mammalia; Rodentia; Cricetidae
Source: RefSeq, a predicted model, not a curated record
GAGUUUCGGCAGCGCAUAUACUAAAAUUGAAAUGAUACAGAGAAGAUUAGUACAGCCCUGCACAAGGAUGAUAUGCAAAUGGGUGAAGCAUUCCAAAUUUUU